This 279-nucleotide ribosomal RNA is filed under the name uncultured bacterium. RNAcentral's name for it is "partial 16S ribosomal RNA". It matches the Rfam family "Bacterial small subunit ribosomal RNA", at positions 506 to 784 of the family's 1533-position model. The record is from RNAcentral.
UGCCAGCCGCCGCGGUAAUACGGAGGGGGCUAGGGUUGUUCGGAAUUACUGGGCGUAAAGCGCACGUAGGCGGACUAUUAAGUCAGGCGUGAAAGCCCCCGGCUCAACCGGGGAAUUGCGCCCAAUACUGGCGGGCUUGAGGACGGUAGGGGUGAGUGGAACUCCAGGUGGAGCGGUGAAAUGCGUAGAUAUCUGGAGGAACACCGGUGGCGAAAGCGACUCACUGGACCGUCUCUGACGCUGAGGUGCGAAAGCCAGGGGAGCGAACGGGAUUAGAUA